This 492-nucleotide ribosomal RNA is filed under the name uncultured bacterium. RNAcentral's name for it is "partial 16S ribosomal RNA". It matches the Rfam family "Bacterial small subunit ribosomal RNA", at positions 29 to 507 of the family's 1533-position model. The record is from RNAcentral.
AGUGAACGCUGGCGGUAGGCCUAACACAUGCAAGUCGAGCGGCAGCACAGUAAGAGCUUGCUCUUACGGGUGGCGAGUGGCGGACGGGUGAGGAAUACAUCGGAAUCUACUUUUUCGUGGGGGAUAACGUAGGGAAACUUACGCUAAUACCGCAUACGACCUACGGGUGAAAGCAGGGGAUCUUCGGACCUUGCGCGAUUGAAUGAGCCGAUGUCGGAUUAGCUAGUUGGCGGGGUAAAGGCCCACCAAGGCGACGAUCCGUAGCUGGUCUGAGAGGAUGAUCAGCGACACUGGAACUGAGACACGGUCCAGACUCCUACGGGAGGCAGCAGUGGGGAAUAUUGGACAAUGGGCGCAAGCCUGAUCCAGCCAUACCGCGUGGGUGAAGAAGGCCUUCGGGUUGUAAAGCCCUUUUGUUGGGAAAGAAAAGCAGCAGGUUAAUACCCCGCUGUUCUGACGGUACCCAAAGAAUAAGCACCGGCUAACUUCGUG